UUAAAAAACUUUUUAGGUCACAACCUAUCUGUAAAUAUGACACACCAGUAUGGAAAUCCUUAUUCUUCUCACAGCCACCAGCUAUUGGCCCAUCCACUGACUAUCCCAAUUCCACCUGCCUUAUCAGUGGAAAGGUGAAAUGUAUGCCCACUUUUUCCUCACACCAUUCCCCUUUCUAUCAAAAACUACCAAGAGAAACCCAGGACCUACCAAAAUAGUUAAGAUGUGCUCCACUGUGUCUACUGCCAGCCAAACCUGUUGAAGGCUGGCUCAACCCUAAUCUGUGCCUUCCUGUCUUCUCACAAACGUAGUCUGAUUUGCUGGCUAGAUUUCUAGUAACAGCCACAGAGCAGAAAUGUGUCCCUUCCCAAUAUGUCACAUAAUCCCCAAGAGCCUCAGGCCAGAAGUCCACAACAUGUAACUAGUUCAAAGGAUAAAAUUUUUCUCUGCAUUAAUUCUAACAUGAGGAAUACUGAAAACUCUUUUAAACAUCUGAAGAAUUUCAGCAAUUCACAAUUCACCUUACUGGAGUGUUACACUGUCAUCCAGAUUUAGAAACAGGAGGAUAUAAAACUAUUAAAUGGAAAAGC
Molecule: long non-coding RNA, 590 nt
Filed under: Homo sapiens (human)
Lineage: Eukaryota; Metazoa; Chordata; Mammalia; Primates; Hominidae
Description: HSALNT0122012
Source: RNAcentral